CCGGCCCAGACAGCGCAGGGCGGGCAGUGCUUUGCCGGGACCGACAUCUCCCGCAGACCAGCACAGCACGGAACAGCACAGGCGCCGCAACGAGGCCAAGAAGCGACCACAGACUGGAGGGGGAUCGAGAGCCCCAGAGACCACCAGACCUCAGACCUGUUUCCAGAAAGGUCUGAAAGAACAGCCUGUGCAUGGGAACUCAUUGGCACAGAAGACAGAAAGCCACCUUCCGUGGGGAACCCUGUCCAUGCAAAGGUACCCCCAGCAAGCCCAGCAGCCUGGACGUCCCUCCAGCUGCAUCCACGCUGGACACCGGACUGACCCCUUGCACAGGAUGGCGGCGUCACCCAUUCUCAGAGGAAGGUAGGAGACUGUGCUGAAUGUCACCUCCAGGAGCUGUAGGAACAGUCCCUUGACAAGGUCCCAGUGUGCCAGUAUCGAAAAGUCAGUUAAAUUAUGGCCUUUUGUAGUGCUGUAAAAAACAGCUCCCUUUAGGGUUCCUGGAUGCCCUCUUUGGUUGAGGCUGCAAUCCCUUGGAUGAAGUUGUCCCUGUGGAUACAACUGGUACUUCAUGUUCCUAGGAAGGACCCUCCCCAGCUGGGCAAGCUUUGUGCAGCCCUGGUUUCUGUUGCACUCGGGGCAGCUCUUUCCCAUCCUGUCCAGAGCAAGACAAUGCCAUGACCCAGAUGGGAGUGCAGAGCAGGUCUGGACUGACAGGACAGUCAUCCACGACCACAUCAGCCUGACAUUCCCUGAUGAUGGCAACGGGAUGAACUCGGAGCAGCUGCACAAAAUACUAAGGCACUGUGCAACCUCUCUGGAGUGCCCAUUAGUGGAGAGAAAGACAAUUCAUAUGGUUGUGACUGUCUUUCCUUUCAGUUGGCAACCAAGAGAAGAGACAGACUCGGCUCCAAUCCUUUGGAGUAUUGAUAAGAGAAGGUAUUGUGGGAAAUGACCCUGUGCCUUUUCUGUUUCUCCUGCCAGAGUCGGUAGGGUUUGGACUGAUCUCUCUUUUAUUUCUCCAGGUAGCAGAGAGGUUUCUUUCCCCUUUAGUAGAGAAGAUAGUGUAGAGACCCCUUAUUAGAGAAGAUAGUGUACAGACCCCUUUAGUAGAGAAGAUAGUGUACAGAGAAGAUAGUAGAGAAGAUAGUGUACCCCUUAUUAGAGAAGAUUGCUCUGCCUGCAGCUGUACCCAUGGACAAGCUUGGAUUCCAACAGUUCUGUUCACAGCAAGUGAGUCCCCACUUGUGUGUAUUUCUCCUGCUGAUCUACGCGUAGGAGAUGUUUUUCCACUGACCUUGGGUUUGGGAGCUGGAGGGUUUGUGGGUGUUGUUUUCAAAUCAGGUCUGUUUUGUGGGCUUUUGCAGUAUUUGGUACCCGAAGCCGAGCACGCAGAUCAUCCUGGGAGGACAAAGAGCCAAAACACAGCUGGUUUCCAAAGGUCUGGCCUCCACUGAGUGUGACACAGACAGGUGCAAAAUCCUGAUUUCCAGCACUUGCUGGAUCCUGAGCCAGUUGGUGUGACUGGGCAGGUGUGGGUCUGGGUCCUGUCUUUGGGAAUGUUAAUUGGUCAGGCUUGAUGACCCUCUGGGUUUGUCUCCUUCCUUUUUCUUCCCUUCCCAACUGCAAACAGGAACGUUUUUCCCAUUCCACAGAUCCGUACCAGUCAGUGGGACUGACCAGGCUGGUUCCUGUCACUUCCUGCCCCAGCAGUCAGCU
This 1719-nucleotide long non-coding RNA is filed under the name Manacus vitellinus (golden-collared manakin). Its description in RNAcentral is "lncRNA (ENSMVIG00005006634.1)". The record is from RNAcentral. Lineage: Eukaryota; Metazoa; Chordata; Aves; Passeriformes; Pipridae.